GGAGGUUACAUAUAAAUUAUUCAAAUAAUCAAUCAAUCAACUAAGCCCCCCAACCCUAACCCUAAGUCAGAGGAAAAAGUACCUGAACACGAGCAGCAACAUCCAUAGGGGAAUCAAGAAGCAUACCAACGUCUCUCCUCAAUUGCCUCGAUCACAAUCACCUCCGUCGCAAUUCGCCAUUGUCAUUUUAGAGAAAUUGAUGGUUCUUCAGAGCCAUGAGAACUGAGAAGAGCGUGUUUGAGUGAGAAUGAAUA
Molecule: unclassified non-coding RNA, 254 nt
Filed under: Hevea brasiliensis (rubber tree)
Lineage: Eukaryota; Viridiplantae; Streptophyta; Magnoliopsida; Malpighiales; Euphorbiaceae
Source: RNAcentral